AAUGUUUGGCAAUUUUGCUGUAACAGAAUUGAAAGCGGGUGUUACGCAAUGAAUGACAAAAUCUAAAGGCUAUAUCAGUGAGAUUGCUAUGAGAAUGACUCUGGAAGAAGCCAGAAAACCAGAAAACCCCAUUCAGGAGAUGAAAAUUCAGAUUUGGGUCUACAUUACAUCUCUGGAUCUUACUGUCCUUCUUGUUUUGAAGUGAAAUGACUUUUGGCAGAAGAUCAAAAUGUGGUGAGAGAUGAUGUUCUGAGGUAUUUAAACUCCUGAUAGGAGCAACAGUCUGAUUCUUCCACCAUUGUCUUUUCACUUGGAAGAACAGCAGACGAUGUCUUUUGUUACUUUUUGCCUCUGCAAAUGUGAGGACUAUCUUUAGCUAAGCUCACAGGAGGUCAAAGUUGCUUAUGUUUUUUAUAGGGGGAUUAAGAAACUGACAACAGACUUUGCAAUGCAAUAAGAUGUCUAUCUAUCAUCUAUCUAUCUAUCAAACAAUCUAUCAAUCUGUUAAAAAGUAGAGUAUUAAUAUACAUAGGAGCACCUUAUCUCCUUAAAUAUACGUGUUUUGUGCUGGUUGAGAUAUUCUAGCUUUUUUUAGAUCUCAGCAUAGAGGAAAACAUGAUAAAGAACCAAGACACUGGUUAUGGAACAACAUCUGGCAUCCAGGUGCAGAUGCACUGUGACAUCUAAAAUGGCACUAGAAACCCAUACUUAAAUAUUUAUGACAGCAGUGUCAGGAGGUAUGGAUCCUUCUGUACUGUUUUGCACUAUUUUUUUUUCAAAAAAAAAAUCCUCUUGCAUAAUACAGUUAAUUUAAAACUUGCAAAUGAGUAUGGCUUUUUAAGCAAUACGACAGUACUAGCAGAAAUUCUAUUUUUCUGAAUAACCCAGACCAAUACAUCAAAUAUAUGAAUGAUCAUUUAGUACCUGGAACAAUGGAGGGGAAGGUACAACUAAAUGUAGUAAGGUCUUGCAUCUUAAAUAAGCUAUCCUCAGUGUACAUUAACUAUUUUGCAAUCCUUUGUGUUUCAGAGUGUU
This 1035-nucleotide long non-coding RNA is filed under the name Cyanistes caeruleus (blue tit). RNAcentral describes it as "lncRNA (ENSCCEG00000023477.1)". Lineage: Eukaryota; Metazoa; Chordata; Aves; Passeriformes; Paridae. The record is from RNAcentral.